AACGAACGCUGGCGGCAGGCUUAACACAUGCAAGUCGAGCGCCCCGCAAGGGGAGCGGCAGACGGGUGAGUAACGCGUGGGAACGUACCAUUUGCUACGGAAUAACUCAGGGAAACUUGUGCUAAUACCGUAUGAGCCCGAAAGGGGAAAGAUUUAUCGGCAAAUGAUCGGCCCGCGUUGGAUUAGCUAGUUGGUGGGGUAAAGGCCUACCAAGGCGACGAUCCAUAGCUGGUCUGAGAGGAUGAUCAGCCACACUGGGACUGAGACACGGCCCAGACUCCUACGGGAGGCAGCAGUGGGGAAUAUUGGACAAUGGGCGCAAGCCUGAUCCAGCCAUGCCGCGUGAGUGAUGAAGGCCCUAGGGUUGUAAAGCUCUUUCACCGGUGAAGAUAAUGACGUAACCGGAGAAGA
This 411-nucleotide ribosomal RNA is filed under the name Ochrobactrum sp. ITRH1. RNAcentral describes it as "bacterial SSU rRNA". It matches the Rfam family "Bacterial small subunit ribosomal RNA", at positions 29 to 488 of the family's 1533-position model. Lineage: Bacteria; Pseudomonadati; Pseudomonadota; Alphaproteobacteria; Hyphomicrobiales; Brucellaceae. The record is from RNAcentral.